ACGGUGUGCACUCGAUGUUGNCGGAAUUGUCCCCGCCAGUGUCUAAGUACGCGUAAGUGCACCGCCUGGGGAGUACGGUCGCAAGAUUAAACUCAAAGAAUUGACGGGGACCCGCACAAGCGGAGGAGCAUGUGGCUUAAUUCGAUGCAACGCGAAGAACCUUACCUGGACUUGACAUAUAACUGCACAUCCUGUGAAAGCAGGAUUCCUUCGAGGGUGUUAUACAGGUGCUGCAUGGCUGUCGUCAGUUCGUGCCGUGAGGUGUUAGGUUAAGUCCUGCAACGAACGCAACCCCUAUGUUUAGUUGCCAUCAGGUAAUGCUGGGCACUCUAGACAGACUGCCCGUGCAAUCGGGAGGAAGGUGGGGACGACGUCAAGUCAGUAUGGCCCUUACGUCCAGGGCUGCACACGUGCUACAAUGACCGGUACAGAGGGCAGCGAUACCGCGAGGUGGAGCUAAUCCCUUAAAACCGGUCCCAGUUCGGAUUGGAGUCUGCAACUCGACUCCAUGAAGUUGGAUUCGCUAGUAACGGCGUAUCAGCUACGGCGCCGUGAUACGUUCCCGGGUCUUGUACACACCGCCCGUCACAUCAUGAAAGCCGUCUGCACCCAAAGUCGCUGACUCAACUGAUUUAUUAGAG
Molecule: ribosomal RNA, 641 nt
Filed under: uncultured organism
Description: bacterial SSU rRNA
Rfam family: Bacterial small subunit ribosomal RNA
Source: RNAcentral